This 116-nucleotide ribosomal RNA is filed under the name Pelistega indica. The record is from RNAcentral. Lineage: Bacteria; Pseudomonadati; Pseudomonadota; Betaproteobacteria; Burkholderiales; Alcaligenaceae.
CGCUUGACGACCAUAGCAAGGUGGUCCCACUCCUUCCCAUCCCGAACAGGACAGUGAAACACCUUUGCGCCGAUGAUAGUGGGUGGACACCUGUGAAAGUAGGGCAUCGUCAAGCU